GCCCGGUUAGCUCAAUCGGUAAAGCGUAAGACUCUAAAUCUUAAGGCUGUGGGUUCGACCCCCACAUUGGGCG
Lobosporangium transversale is the source of this 73-nucleotide transfer RNA. It matches the Rfam family "tRNA". Rfam says of the family: Transfer RNA (tRNA) molecules are approximately 80 nucleotides in length. The record is from Rfam. Lineage: Eukaryota; Fungi; Mortierellomycota; Mortierellomycetes; Mortierellales; Mortierellaceae.